RNAcentral lists this ribosomal RNA (253 nucleotides) under uncultured bacterium. Its description in RNAcentral is "partial 16S ribosomal RNA". It matches the Rfam family "Bacterial small subunit ribosomal RNA", at positions 524 to 776 of the family's 1533-position model. The record is from RNAcentral.
UACAGAGGGGGCAAGCGUUGUUCGGAAUUACUGGGCGUAAAGGGCGCGUAGGCGGCCUUCUAAGUCGAACGUGAAAUCCCCGGGCUCAACCCGGGAACUGCGUCCGAUACUGGCAGGCUUGAAUCCGGGAGAGGGAUGUGGAAUUCCAGGUGUAGCGGUGAAAUGCGUAGAUAUCUGGAGGAACACCGGUGGCGAAGGCGGCAUCCUGGACCGGCAUUGACGCUGAGGCGCGAAAGCCAGGGGAGCAAACGGG